Small nuclear RNA from Suncus etruscus (white-toothed pygmy shrew), 105 nucleotides. Lineage: Eukaryota; Metazoa; Chordata; Mammalia; Eulipotyphla; Soricidae. The record is from RefSeq and is a predicted model, not a curated record.
GUGCUCGCUUCAGCAGCACAUAUACUAAAAUUGGAAUGAUACAGAGAAGUUUAUCAUGGACUCUGCAAGAUUGAUACACAAAUAUCUUUAUUAAAAGAUGUUAUU